UACAAUCCGACGCUAAAACACGAAGACAUAGACCUUCCCUCGUACGGGCCGGCGCGUUGCUCGCACCCGCUUCGUGCCUCGCCGCAUCUUUAGCCGCGGCCCACUCGUUGUCGACCAUGCUACCCAAACUCAACUUGGAUGGCACGCUCAGCACGCGCGCCUCCAGUGUGCAGGAGCGGAUGAGAGAGGAGGGGCAGCCUGGGAUGUACUCCCCCCGUAUGGCAUCCAGCCAAGCGCCGAAAGGACUCGGAGGCCCUUCCCACGCAGGUGGCGCAUCCUCGACCCGCUUAUCUUCCUCAGCGCCUUCUGCCCUAGGCCACACCAGGUCGCUGUCGCCGCCGCACCUGUCCUCGCACGAAAUAUCACUCCUGGAGGAAGGGGUAAUGGGCAUCUCGGACCCGGAAAUGGCAGCCAUCCUCGCCUCCAAGUCGCAUCACGGCUCGGGCGAGCGCUCUCCGUCGUUGGACAGACUCAGCGGGAUGGGGCCAGGCGGUUACUCGACUUCGAGCAAGCGCCGAGCCGCACCUCUCACGACGUUGGCUGAUCACCAGCAGGCGCGCCAAGCCAUUCCUCAACACUCCAAGGACGGCGACACCGCAGCCUCGGAAAGAUGCAACGAUGAUUGUUCCUCUGAAGGCUCUUCCCCCGUGCUGAGGGCGGCCUCUACCUCUCCCCAAUGUGUGAAGCGCCGAGGGGCCUCUCCGUCGGCACUCUCGCAUGCUUCAAACGAGUCCGCCCCCGCAGUUGCAGGCGCUAGUCUUGGUGCCGCGAGCUUGUCUGCGCCGACACAGAGCACCAUCUCCAUCAUGACGGCCGAGCAGCUGUACAUAUUCGGAAAACCGUUCCAGGCCUACAUGAGUGCCACCUCUACGCGACCCUCAUCGACCGACACACAGGGGACGCUUGCAGCCACCAGCGCCAGUGGUGCCCCCGCUGCCAAGGCCGCCGCUGCCUCUGGCACGCACAUCGCAGCAACUUUCCACCACAACCCUUCACAAUACAUUUCCGCCCUCACCAGCCAAGGCGACUUUGUCGCGGUGGGUGACCGCACCGGGCGUGUCGUAGUGAUGCGCCAGCGCGAGAUGGCGGCUGGACCACGCCGCACUCUCCUCGACAUCAUUCAACGCAGUGGGGAGGCCGAAGAGGAGGGGGCUGCUAAGCGUCACUCGUUAGCCACCUCCGCAGCCUCAUCGUUGUUCUCCCCACCUCGCCACACGACGGCCCUCAAUCACGUGCGUGACCCGUACGACUUCUACGUCGCUCAGCAGGCCUACGUUCCCGUGAUCGAUACACUGAACAGCGUCGAGGUGUCGCCGACGGUGACGGCGCUGGCGUUCCUGCCGCAGUCCGGCCCCACAACGUACCUCCUUGCGGCGAACGAGAAGGUACCGAAGCUGUACAAGAUCAUGUCUGUGCGGGAAUCAGUCAAUCCCUUCCGUGCGGUAGACAAGAUCGGCACCAAGACCAUUGGCCCACUGACCGCGAGCUCACGCACGUCUACAGUGGCCAUGAAGCCGGUUUAUCGCUACGCCAUGCACCACGAGUACAACAUCAACUCCAUCUGCCCCAUCGCGUACAGCGAUCAGUUCGCGACCGCCGACGACGCGACGGUGCUUCUGUGGUGCACCGAGUACCCUGACACGUCCAUCGAGACCCAGGACCUGCGCUCCCCCUACGAGGACGGCCCACGCGAGACUAUUCGCGCCGUCCGCAACUUCCCGCACGAGCCGUUUCUCUUCUUCGUCGCCACCUCCGGUGGCAGCGUGCGUGUUGUCGACACGCGGCAGACGCUUCGAUGGGGCGAUCAGGCGGCGCAGGCAUUCAUAAACCCGCCGCGCGAAGAGGACGAGCCGUUCAGCAACGUUACAAAUAGCAUCUGCGACUGCGCCCUCAGUCCCUCUGGGCGGUACAUCGCCGGUCGCGACUUCAUGUCCGUCUGCUUGUGGGAUAUCCGCAUGGCUGGCAGCGGUGGCGCGCGCAACGCGCCAGCAACACCGCGUCGGCAGGCCCCAGCCGCGCGCGGCGGCGAUGGAAGCCCCGAGUGCAGCAUGGUGCGGCGCUGGGCUCUGCACCCGCACCUGCGCGACGACCUCGACACCAUCUAUCAGUCGAACCUUCUCUUUGACAAGUUCGAUGUGCAAUUCUUGUCGAGCCGACAGGUGUGUACCGGGGGCUUCAACAACACCCUUUACACAAUGGACGUGGAGGGCACCAGCGCCGACACCGCCAGCGACAUUCGUACCUUUCAGCUACUGAAGACGGAGGGCAUCUCCGAAUUUCGGCGCACCACCGUGUCGGCGCACCGACCUGGCGAGGACCGCAUCAGCACCGGGCAGGGCCUCGGAUCACGCAUGACGCUCAUGUCGCGGCCAUGCAUGUCCAUGAGUGGGGCGUGCGGGAUGAUGGUGGCGUGUGGACAGGCGGUCCUGCAGCUCAGCUACAACGGGCUAUCGAAGUGAGAGCGGAGGGAGGGAAAACGAGAUGCGUACAUGCGUGGUUUGCAUACAUGCGCGUGCCGGUCUCUGUUUCUCUCUCUCGGUUUGCUUUCGCUUGCAUUGGCGUGAGUUGUGUGUUCCCUCACCAUCUCCUGACCUUUUAGAUGCAUUGCGGUCGCAGACGCGCGCACUCACUCAUACGUAAAUAUAUGCGCACUCGUGCGGUGCAACGUAGCCGUUUGAGGUCUCG
RNAcentral lists this unclassified non-coding RNA (2685 nucleotides) under Leishmania donovani. Its description in RNAcentral is "gene:LdHU3.33.1010(CDS-product:protein_phosphatas e_2A_regulatory_subunit_putative)". Lineage: Eukaryota; Euglenozoa; Kinetoplastea; Trypanosomatida; Trypanosomatidae. The record is from RNAcentral.